UCUUUGUACAAACUUAAGGCUGCGUUUCCACCAGAAAUGUGUUGCGACUUGCGAGGAAUAUGUGUUUAAGAUCCAAUAGAAUCGCUACGCUGAGCGAGGUCACAGCAAGCUCAUGUCAAUGAAGCGAUUCUAUUGGCUCUCAAAAGCACAUUCCUUGCAACAC
Molecule: long non-coding RNA, 163 nt
Organism: Aricia agestis (brown argus)
Lineage: Eukaryota; Metazoa; Arthropoda; Insecta; Lepidoptera; Lycaenidae
Exons: 3
Source: RefSeq, a predicted model, not a curated record